CAUCUGUGAUCAUCAUUGUGGUUCUGGUUCUGAUUCUAAUCGUCGCUGGACUGCUGCUGUUGAUUUUGUUUUACAGCAAAAGACGUCGAGCUCAAGAUCCUGAUUCAGACUUGACAACCGCUCACCAAGGACCAGGAAACAAUGAAUCAGUGCCUCCUCAUGAAUAUGACGAGAUUAAAGACAUCAAACAGCCCACUGAGUCAGAAUCAGGAACAAUCACAGAUAGCAAUACUGCACGAUUACCCACAAUCCCCCCUGAUGCUCCUAAAACUGUUUAUUCUACUGUUCAACAAAAUCAAACUUCUGGAUUAUACAAAAUUCAUUAGCUUCAUCUUUGUUACCCCAAUGUUGAGGAAACUAGAUAUGUGCAAACCAUGUGGCAUCCAGUGACUUCUCUUCCAAGGGGCGCAAAUUCAAAAUAUGUGCUUAGAUUGUCAUGUGUGUUGCUUGUCAUUUUAAAAUAUGUGUACAGUGCGUCACGUGAACCUAUGUGUUGUCAAAAUACAUGCCUGUUGCUGCACACGCGUCAAACGAGUUAAUGAUAAAAGAGACGCUCACGUUCACAAAAUACUCUCAAUACACUCACUUAACACUUAACUCUGAUUAUACAUGAGAUUAGGCGAGUAUCUCUUUUAUCACAAACUCCUUUGAAGUGUCUGCAGCAGACUCGUAUUUUGACAAGACGCAUGAUGAACAUGGUUUACAUGAUGCGCCAAACACAUAUUUUGAUAUGACGAACCACACACAUGACAUGAUAAAUACAGGUUGUGACGAGCUUUACAUUCUGUUCCCUCAAAAAAGAAGUCACCGGCUGCCAAUGGUUUCUUGGCUUAUGUAACAUAUCAAUUAAAAGCAACUAUGUGCCACUAGAGGUCGCCAAACAACAAAAAGUCACAGCUUGAUGAUGAGAGUUUUAAGCUUCACCUCCACUGCUGAUUGAAAAUGAAGGGAAUUACAAAUCAUGCUUAUUUGGAUAAUGUAAUGAAAUAAAGUUUUAUAACCAUUAAGUCAUACUGUAACGUAGUAGAGUUUCAUGCUAGACUCUAUAACAACUACUUUCAUAUACAGUGCUGCACAGAUCAAUCAGAAUGACAUAAAAAGUCUCAAGAUAGCAACUUAUUAUACUGUUUUCAAUUUGCUCUUGUGAUGCAAUGAUAUCAUACUCAGAUUGGUCUGCACAGUGGUGGAUUAAGUCAAACUUACUUUAGAACAACCUGAGUUACAGUAAAUAUAGUUCUUUUAGAGUCCCUUAUAUCUGUUCAACAAACAGGGACAUUUUAAUAUUUAUAUAACUGUAUAACUGAAAAGC
This is a long non-coding RNA of Paramisgurnus dabryanus, 1309 nucleotides long. RefSeq lists it as uncharacterized. NCBI's taxonomy places the organism in Eukaryota, Metazoa, Chordata, Actinopteri, Cypriniformes, Cobitidae. The record is from RefSeq and is a predicted model, not a curated record.